AGCAGCCGCGGUAAUUCCAGCUCCAAUAGCGUAUAUUAAAGUUGUUGCAGUCAAAAAGCUCGUAGUUGAAUUUCGGGAUCAAUUCAUCGGUCGUGCCUAUGGUAUGAACUGGUACAAUUGGUUUCUCCCUUCUGACGAAGCAUGAUGUCAUUAAUUUGGUGUCGUGGGGAAUCAGGACUGUUACUUUGAAAAAAUUAGAGUGUUUAAAGCAAGCAUUAGCUUGAAUACAUUAGCAUGGAAUAAUGAAAUAGGACGUUUGAUCCUAUUUCGUUGGUUUCUAGGAUCGACGUAAUGAUUAAUAGGGAUAGUUGGGGGCAUUAGUAUUCAAUUGUCAGAGGUGAAAUUCUUGGAUUUAUUGAAGACUAACUACUGCGAAAGCAUUGCCAAGGAUGUUUUCAUUAAUCAAGAACGAAAGUUAGGGGAUCGAAGACGAUCAGAUACCGUCGUAGUCUUAACCAUAAACUAUGCCGACUAGGGAUCGGAUGAUGUUAAUUUUUUAAUGACUCA
RNAcentral lists this ribosomal RNA (507 nucleotides) under uncultured fungus. RNAcentral describes it as "SSU rRNA". It matches the Rfam family "Eukaryotic small subunit ribosomal RNA", at positions 569 to 1078 of the family's 1831-position model. Lineage: Eukaryota; Fungi. The record is from RNAcentral.